This 23-nucleotide non-coding RNA is filed under the name Cricetulus griseus (Chinese hamster). Lineage: Eukaryota; Metazoa; Chordata; Mammalia; Rodentia; Cricetidae. The record is from RNAcentral.
AAACGAAGAUCUGAACGCGGAGG